This 71-nucleotide transfer RNA is filed under the name Colletotrichum fructicola Nara gc5. RNAcentral's name for it is "tRNA-Asp for anticodon GUC". It matches the Rfam family "tRNA". From Rfam's summary of the family: Transfer RNA (tRNA) molecules are approximately 80 nucleotides in length. Their secondary structure includes four short double-helical elements and three loops (D, anti-codon, and T loops). The record is from Rfam by way of RNAcentral. Lineage: Eukaryota; Fungi; Ascomycota; Sordariomycetes; Glomerellales; Glomerellaceae.
UCUCUCGUGGUGUAGUGGUAACAUGCGUGCUUGUCGCGCACGCGCCCCUGGCUCGAUUCCGGGCGGGAGAG